Marmota monax (woodchuck) is the source of this 358-nucleotide long non-coding RNA. RefSeq lists it as uncharacterized. The transcript is spliced from 2 exons. NCBI's taxonomy places the organism in Eukaryota, Metazoa, Chordata, Mammalia, Rodentia, Sciuridae. The record is from RefSeq and is a predicted model, not a curated record.
AAGGAGAGUCUGCCGUUGCACCCCCCAGUCACAGUCAUCUCCCGCUGCUGUACCCAGGACGUUGCCCUCCCCGACGGCCGGGUCAUCCCCAAAGGGAACGUCUGUGCUAUCAGCAUCUUUGGGAUCCAUCACAAUCCAUCGGUCUGGCCAGAUCCUGAGGUGCUGCUCCUCCUCCCCAUUCCUGGGGCCUGGUGAUGGGGCGCGGACCUGACCUGGGACACCAGACUCUGUGCCUCUACUGCACCUGCCCGACUUCCCCCGGGGUGGCUGGUGUGCCAUCUCCCAGCAGCCCUCUCUUGCCCUGUCCCCAGGUCUAUGACCCGUCGCGCUUCGACCCAGAAAAACCCAGAAGAGGUCA